RNAcentral lists this ribosomal RNA (528 nucleotides) under Lodderomyces parapsilosis. Its description in RNAcentral is "eukaryotic LSU rRNA". It matches the Rfam family "Eukaryotic large subunit ribosomal RNA", at positions 98 to 642 of the family's 3401-position model. The record is from RNAcentral. Lineage: Eukaryota; Fungi; Ascomycota; Pichiomycetes; Serinales; Debaryomycetaceae.
GCGGCAAAAGCUCAAAUUUGAAAUCUGGCACUUUCAGUGUCCCAGUUGUAAUUUGAAGAAGGUAUCUUUGGGUCUGGCUCUUGUCUAUGUUUCUUGGAACAGAACGUCACAGAGGGUGAGAAUCCCGUGCGAUGAGAUGUCCCAGACCUAUGUAAAGUUCCUUCGAAGAGUCGAGUUGUUUGGGAAUGCAGCUCUAAGUGGGUGGUAAAUUCCAUCUAAAGCUAAAUAUUGGCGAGAGACCGAUAGCGAACAAGUACAGUGAUGGAAAGAUGAAAAGAACUUUGAAAAGAGAGUGAAAAAGUACGUGAAAUUGUUGAAAGGGAAGGGCUUGAGAUCAGACUUGGUAUUUUGUAUGUUACUCUCUCGGGGGUGGUCUCUACAGUUUACCGGGCCAGCAUCAGUUUGAGCGGUAGGAUAAGUGCAAAGAAAUGUGGCACUGCUUCGGUAGUGUGUUAUAGUCUUUGUCGAUACUGCCAGCUUAGACUGAGGACUGCGGCUUCGGCCUAGGAUGUUGGCAUAAUGAUCUUA